Long non-coding RNA from Sander lucioperca (pikeperch), 689 nucleotides. RefSeq lists it as uncharacterized. The record is from RefSeq and is a predicted model, not a curated record. The transcript is spliced from 2 exons. Lineage: Eukaryota; Metazoa; Chordata; Actinopteri; Perciformes; Percidae.
AGAAGUGUACCCUUUAAUAAAAGGCUGUGUUUUAUUGAAAUACAGCAGACAUCAACAGGUUGUUUUGCUGGCCCGGGCAACAGAAACAGAGCAUCGAAUACUUUUCAAAUCGACUUAGAAACAAAUAGACGGCAAUUUUUUUGUUGUUAUAAGAAGUCAAAGACCCUCACAACCUGGCGCCCAAAACUGAGGAAAUGAAGCCUCAUUUUGGGUCACACGCUGAUUCAAAAGAAGUGUCUUACUUCCACUUUGGCUUCUUAAAAAUGCUGGUAUAUGAAGAUUUGAAACCGUGUUCAGGCCUGUUUUCGUGCCCGGGGUUGUUCUAUGUUUGAUAGUAGCGAUCGUAGAAGAAGCAGAACCUCAGUUAUGAAGCAGGGCUGGCCUCAACUCCCCAUAAAAACACAUUCAGUCCGCCUGGUUCCCCUCCUCCAAAAAGAAAUUUAGAAACCGUGCUCCCGCUCGCACAUAGGAGUCCAGUUUGAUCUAUUAUAUUGUUGGGCUCUAACGUGAAACUCCCGCUCGUUGUGGCUUUGUAACAACGCAUUAUGUAAUAACUUGUGGGGAAACCAGGCGCACGCAAUGGAUAAACUUCAAAGUGAGCAAACAGAGCACUUUAAAUAAAAACAAAGGAAGGACUCGUGCACACUAGUCAGACUGUAUUUCCCUCCAAAAUGGAGCCACGAUGUAGC